This 488-nucleotide ribosomal RNA is filed under the name uncultured bacterium. RNAcentral's name for it is "partial 16S ribosomal RNA". It matches the Rfam family "Bacterial small subunit ribosomal RNA", at positions 28 to 507 of the family's 1533-position model. The record is from RNAcentral.
GAUGAACGCUGGCGGCGUGCCUAACACAUGCAAGUCGAACGGAAAGACCCUGCUUUUGCGGGGUGCUCGAGUGGCGAACGGGUGAGUAACACGUGAGUAACCUGCCCUUGACUUUGGGAUAACUUCAGGAAACUGCGGCUAAUACCGGAUAUGAGCUCCUGCUGCAUGGUGGGGGUUGGAAAGUUUCGGCUGUUGUGGCUGUACUCGCGGCUUAUCAGCUUGUUGGUGGGGUAGUGGCUUACCAAGGCUUCGACGGGUAGCCGGCCUGAGAGACCGGUCGGCGGCCCGAGAGGUGAGCCGGGGUCCAGGGGACUAAGGGAGGCACCAGAAGGGAACGGGAGGCAGUGGGCGGAAGUAUUGCACAGUGGGCGGGAGCGUGAGGCAAAGGCGUUCGGAGCGUGAAGCCGGCUUACGGGUGGUAAACCGCUGUGGCCGGAGACGAAGAGGGAGUGACGGUAAUGGGUAAAGAAGCACCGGCUAACUACGUG